AGUUCAAGAGAGUGAUGAGCUUUUUCACUAACGAAAGGGGUUGGAAGUUGUCGGAUCUUUCUAGACACCCAAUUUUCUAAUGCAUAGCUUGAAGAAGAGGAUCAUCCCAAGAUGCUCGGUCCUUAAAAUCCUAAUGUCAAAAGGUCUUGUUAAGGAUUCCAGCAUAAGCACCGCGUUGACUAUCAGCAACAAGGCCUUCAUUGAGAGAUUCAUUGCCAAGUAUCAGGAUAGUGUUCCUGAAAUACCGACGGUUUAUCGAGGUAAAAUGGGAUUUCUAGGAUUAGAUGUUAAAUCCGAAGAUGCGGGCAGCGCUCUAAAAUUGUAGUGAAGGAUAGGCACUUUGUGGUUGCUGGGAGUCUAGGACUGGGGCGGUGGAAGUUCUAUUGCAUUUCUUUUAUUGUUCUUCUUUUUACCUUCACAUUGUAGAUCCGUUCUCGGUGAGUUUGGAUGCACUAUCAUAAUGGAUUAUAAUUAUUAGUUUUCCAAAGUGGGUACAACCAAAUUGCUGAUUUUUCCACAUUUGUACUGUAUGUUUGGGCUCCAAACUGCAAUUACCUUAAUUUCAAGUUGGACUUUAAGCA
This is a long non-coding RNA of Magnolia sinica, 581 nucleotides long. RefSeq lists it as uncharacterized. The record is from RefSeq and is a predicted model, not a curated record. The transcript has 2 exons. NCBI's taxonomy places the organism in Eukaryota, Viridiplantae, Streptophyta, Magnoliopsida, Magnoliales, Magnoliaceae.